UACGUAGGGCGCGAGCGUUGUCCGGAAUUAUUGGGCGUAAAGAGCUCGUAGGCGGUUUGUCGCGUCGGGUUGUGAAAACCCAAGGCUCAACCUUGGGCCUGCAAUCGAUACGGGCAGACUAGAGUACUGCAGGGGGAGACUGGAAUUCCUGGUGUAGCGGUGGAAUGCGCAGAUAUCAGGAGGAACACCGGUGGCGAAGGCGGGUCUCUGGGCAGUAACUGACGUGGAGGAGCGAAAGCGUGGGGGAGCGAACAGG
This 256-nucleotide ribosomal RNA is filed under the name uncultured bacterium. RNAcentral describes it as "partial 16S ribosomal RNA". It matches the Rfam family "Bacterial small subunit ribosomal RNA", at positions 524 to 776 of the family's 1533-position model. The record is from RNAcentral.